CUGGGGAAUUUUGGACAAUGGGCGAAAGCCUGAUCCAGCAAUGCCGCGUGUGUGAAGAAGGCCUUCGGGUUGUAAAGCACUUUUGUCCGGAAAGAAAUCCUUGGCUCUAAUACAGUCGGGGGAUGACGGUACCGGAAGAAUAAGCACCGGCUAACUACGUGCCAGCAGCCGCGGUAAUACGUAGGGUGCAAGCGUUAAUCGGAAUUACUGGGCGUAAAGCGUGCGCAGGCGGUUUGCUAAGACCGAUGUGAAAUCCCCGGGCUCAACCUGGGAACUGCAUUGGUGACUGGCAGGCUAGAGUAUGGCAGAGGGGGGUAGAAUUCCACGUGUAGCAGUGAAAUGCGUGGAGAUGUGGAGGAAUACCGAUGGCGAAGGCAGCCCCCUGGGCCAAUACUGACGCUCAUGCACGAAAGCGUGGGGAGCAAACAGGAUUAGAUACCCUGGUAGUCCACGCCCUAAACGAUGUCAACUAGUUGUUGGGGAUUCAUUUCCUUAGUAACGUAGCUAACGCGUGAAGUUGACCGCCUGGGGAGUACGGUCGCAAGAUUAAAACUCAAAGGAAUUGACGGGGUCAUAGCUG
Molecule: ribosomal RNA, 580 nt
Filed under: uncultured bacterium
Lineage: Bacteria
Description: partial 16S ribosomal RNA
Rfam family: Bacterial small subunit ribosomal RNA
Source: RNAcentral